RNAcentral lists this long non-coding RNA (7191 nucleotides) under Zea mays. Its description in RNAcentral is "long non-coding RNA (ZMAY_LNC004176)". Lineage: Eukaryota; Viridiplantae; Streptophyta; Magnoliopsida; Poales; Poaceae. The record is from RNAcentral.
UUGGAAACUAUUUGAUGCAUUGCCUACCUUGAUAUCCAUACCUUUAUAGAUACUUCUGAUGAAGUAUCAAAAUAUGAUUUACAAAAAUGCUUAGCCCUGCUUAGAUCUUGUGGAUAGAGGCUGUCUUUUGCAAUAAUGCCUAGCUCAGGGGUUAUCCUGAGGAAGGAUGGCUUCUACCUGCAAGAAUAUUUUCAUUGGGAGCAUGGUGGGAUCUUACUGCAAAGUUCCCUAUAAUGCUCUUUUCAUCCUAAGGAACACAAACAAUCCUAAGGAUGGAAGUACUUAAAUCGGGACUUGGGCUAUGAACAAGUGAUGUUCUACCCAGGUUAAUUAAGGAUUGGAUGCGUAUGUAGGCCUGUAUGAUCAAGGACUAUCUUAACUGGCCACAUGCCCUGGAUAUGGGACAGGGUAAGCUUGAACCCGGCUAUUCCAUACAUGAAAAGACAAUCGCGCACUGGGAGUGGAGAGAUGGCGAGAGUGGCACGUACCCUCCUGGCAAAGGACCGCCUAAAAAGGGUGGUGUGCUCUCGGGUGGCGCGGACCUGUUCAUGCAGUGGAGGAUCCGUGGGAAUGGUUGACAUAUGCAAGGGUUAAGUGCUACAUAUGUCGUGUGGUUAGAGAUCCUCAGCUGAGUAAAUCGAUUCGGAUCGCCGUUAUAUCCCCGGAGAGUGGAGACUUGAUCGCUGCCCUGCAACCUAAGUCAGGAUGUAAACAUUAUGAAUAAAAAUGAUGUUGUAUUGAUGAGAUGGUGAAAUUAGACUAGAUGCUACCAGAGUCUAUUAAUAUUUAAUCUGGCGUUAAAAUAUUGAAAGUAAGGACUCACUUUAGUAAGUUAUUUCUGCAAAAGUAUCUAAGUUGAUUCUUGCUAAAGCCUUUUCCUUGAUUCCUAUUUAACCAGCAUAUCCUUGAGAGUCAUUUUUCCUUAGUCGGGUAAGACUUGCGAAAGUACACUCCGUACUCAGGGUUUUCGAACCCAUGUUGUUGUAGGUGAUGAGGAGUACUCUAGGUGUUCCUAUGGCUGGAGGGCAUUUCCAGUUCUGGAGGAGGAUUAGUUAGGCUUGUGUAUAAUCUUUGGAGGGUUUCUACCUUCCUGCUAUUGUAAUAAGUUAUGCACUUUGAGUAUAUCAGGACUUGUAAUAAAUGUAACUCUUCCUAUGUAAUAAACUUGAGUUUUGAAAAGGUAAAGAAUGUUUGUAAAGUCUUCCGCUCUUAUCUCCGAAGUGUGUGUAUCGAAUGUGAUUACUGUAAUAUGCAUGUAUGGUGGGAGAUCCUUGGGAUGAUGAGUUCAAGUGGUUGAACUCGUGAUAGCCUUGUUAAGUUACCUGGUACACGUGCAUAGCCAUCUGAGGCCAUCAAAGCAAGGAUUGGUGCAUGUGGGCCUGAUAACUUGGGAGGGCUGCCACAGAUUGGUAUCGGAGCGAUCCCCCAUUAACAUGGAUAUUAAAGUAAUCCUUUGAUAUACUUGAAAAGGAUUUUGAGUCCAAACUAUUUUGGAAAAACUUAAGAAUAUGAUCAAAUCCUGAUAGUCGAAGUGCAAAUAGUAUAUAGUUAAGUUAAGGACUAUAAGGUGGCUUAGUUUAGGAUUCUAACCACUAACCCACAACUAUAAUGCAAUUUUCUGCAGGUACACUAACUAAACCCUAGGAAAGUGCGACUAGUGAUAAAUGACGGAGUAAGUAGGAUUGCCACCGCCAUAGAACGUGAUAGCCAUUAUGUGUUGGCAAUAAUUGUGAGGACGGAUAGGACGAGCAUGCAUCAUGACAUACAAUUGUAAGUUAAGCCUCCUAUAUAGUAGCUUAGUACAUGUUUCGUCCACCCUAUUCCUGCUAUCUGUCUUUGUGUUUCUAUGCUACCUUUUCCUGUUCACGAAGACUACCAAGCUUCGAAACAAAGGUUUUGGUGAACCUGUGGCUUAUAAGGAACAAUUGUCAGAAGAUCUUCCAAUAGUGCACAACAUGUUCCACGUGUCCCAGUUAAAGAAAUGUUUUUGAGUCCUCAAGCAUGUUAUUGGGAUUUCAGAUGUUAACCUUGGACCAGAUUUAACCUACUUGGAAUAUUCCAUAAAGGUUUUGGAUCAAAAGGAUCGGUCAAUUGAAGAAAAGUUAUCAAGUUUUAUAAGCUACAGUGGAACCAACCCAUGGAAGAUGAAACCACAUAGAAAUUGGAGGAGUAUCUGGAAGAGCGUGUUCCUGAGUUUCUAGUGCCCUGUAAACCUAAGGUUUGUGUAGUUUAUUUCUGAUAUAAACCAAUAGGGGAACACCCCUGCCUUGUAGGAGUAAUGGGAAAUAAGCCAGUGACACAUUUCCUUUUCCAUUACCUAGCCUAGAGUUUUAAAUCUCGGGACGAGAUUUCUUUUUAGGGGGGAAGACUGUAACACCCCUGGUGUUACGUGAACUAAAACUCUGACAUGUCAUCAUAAGCAUUUGCAUUAACUUGCUUGUUACACCUAGAAUGCAUUUACUAGGUUAAAUUUUUUGAUUCAAAAGUGUGAUGUUGUGUGUCGAGUAUAGGACUUAGGUUGAAAAACUUGCUUGGAAUUAUGGAUAAACAAAAUAAUUCCUAAACCGAGGACUGGUUGGGAAUGGGCUGCAUAUACUAAAGUUGGAUCUUAGACUAGAGAGUAACUUUGUUUUGAUGAAUGGAUCAAAGGGAUGAAUCCCUAGAAGAAGCUGAAACACAAAUGAAACUCAUUUGAAACCCUAAACUAACCCUAAAUGUGGAAUUCAAAAUCUAGAAGGAUUUAGCUAAAAGUCCAUAUACCAAGGUUGUAGAACUUGGAAAAGUGAAUAAAUUUCAUAUAUGGAGAAUUCCAAGUUGUGUGGAGAAAUUUGGAGUAAUUUGCAAAAUUUCAGCUUGGGUUCAGUUUGAAUUGGGCUGAAAACAGUUUCAUAUAGCUGUUUUUGGACCCUUAUAACUUUUGAUCUAUGGACUUUUGGUAAAGAGUUACUAUAACAAACUUGUAAAGUGACUGUUGUAGAAAAAUCCUUAUUAAGUGUACCAGCCCUAAAACUAUAUGCAACUGGCUGAAAAAGUGGUCCAAUUUAGGGCUGUCAGAUUUCAGACUUAGUGUAAAUGCAAAUCCUGAAUUUCAGUGUUUUGGUGUAACUUUGGAGCUCUCUAUUGCUCUAUCCAUAGGGUUAUAGGUUAUGAUCAUUAUAACACAAUUAUAGAGCUAAUUGAUGAGUAUAAAUUUGAUUAAGACACUUAGCCCUAAAGCUAUUUGAAACCUAGAGAAAAGCUGGUCUAAAGUAGAGCUGUCUGAAAGUGUGGAUUUCAGACUUAGUGAAAUUCAGUCUGAAUUUCAGUAAUUUGGGCAAACUUUGGACCUCUGUAGUUUGGAAUCCAAGAAGUUUUCGUUAAUGACCACUAUAGAAAAAUUGUAGAAUAAGUAUAGGAGAGCAACUUUUAUUAAGUGUGACAGCCCUGGAACUAUAUACAACUAGGCGAAAAGGUGAUCCAAAGUGGGGUUGUCAGACUUUUUGAGUUUUCAGCUUGGGAACAGUGAACUGAAACUAAGAUUUAAGUAUAUGUAGCUGUUUUUGGAGCUCAAUUGUGCCUAAUCCAUGAGGUUUUGGGCUGUAGAGUAUAUAGAGGAAUUAAAUACCAUAUGAUGGUGAAUAAGUCUCCUUAAGUGACUUUGGUUUGAUCCUACACAAAAGUGGGAGAGAAAGCUUGCUCAAGGUUGGACUGACAGACAGUGCUUUAACUGCAUUUGGUUCAGUUCUGAAAUCUGAAAUUUGUUGUUUGGUGCCAUGUUUGGAGCCCUUUUGUGGUUGUUCUAUAAGGUUUUGGACUGAGGUUUUUGUAGUGGAAGUGAAGAACACUCAAUGGUGAACAACUGUAUUAAAGGAUGAUGGACAUGAUCCUAUAUGAAAAUUGGAGUAACAGCUGCUCAAAAUUUGACUGUCAGGUGGUUGGUGACUUAGUUUAUUCAGAACUGAAAGUCUGAAAUCAAUAUUUUUAGUGCAGUUUUGGAGCUGUGUAGUGUCUGUUCUAGGUGGUUUUAAACCUGAAUUUAUGUAUCAAGUUUGAAGACCAUGUGUUAUAGAACAACUUCCUUUAAGUGAGUUGGGCUUGACCCCACACACAAAGUGGUGUAAAGAUUGCCCAAAAAUGGACUCUCAGUUGCAGAGACUGAAUUUCAUCCAGCUGCCUGAAAACUGAAUUUGCAGUGUGUGGUGUCAGUUUAGGAACACUUUUGUGACCAUUCCAUCAGGUUUUAGACUAGGAACUAUAUAACAAAGUUGGAUAUCAUGUGAUGAGGAACAAGUAUCCUAAAGUGAGUUUGACAUGGUGUUGUAUAAAUUUUGGAGUAAAAUGCACCCAUAACUCCUCUGUCAGGCUGUCUAUGGGUUGUUUCAGUUAACUGAAACAAAUAUUCAGGGAGCUGGGUUCAUUUUGAGCCCAUGCAGUUUCUGUUCUCGGUAAUUUCGACAUUGGAUUGUUGAAGCAACCUGAUAGAACUAUGUUUAGAGAAUAACUUUGGUUAAGAAGGUUUGGUCUGCUGCUAUGUGAAAGUGUGAGAUAAAAGGGGCUAUACAUGGAGGUGGGUAAAUGGGACAGUGAUGGUUGUUUCAGUCGACCUGUGCUGCUUCUAGAAACCUGAAGAAGAUAACCCCCUCCCUGCUGGUGUCGCUUGUGAAUUUUGAUGGAGAUAAGGAUCUGGUACAUAGCUCAAGUGCUAGAUGCCCCACUUUCUAUGGAAAAAAAAAUCAAAUACUAGCUGUUUUGUGGGCAGUGAGCAGCAGCAUCCUUAUCCAAUUUGUUUACUGUCUGCAGUAAUGGACAAAGGGGAUAUUUGUGUUGAGUUGAAGAGCUGGCGUGGUGUUUGUGCUUGUAUGCCACGUUUUUGAGUCCCUGCUGUGCUGGCGACCUGGGAACGCUUCUCCACUGGUUUUGAGACAAGUUCAGCGAACCCUGCCAUAGACUUCCCAUUCCUUUGUUUAAAUCUUGGUCCAGAAGACCUUGCUGUCUAGAGAGCUUUGGCUACAGCUAUUGACUCCCUAUACCCUUGCUACCCGUGGUGAUCAUGCAGUAAAAGUAUGGAGCAUAUUAGCCUUGUUGGUCCCCUAUGAUUGAGCUUCUGCAGGGCCACAACAAAUCAGUUGUGUAUAUCUGUUUGUUCUAGUCUUUGAAGGCACAAACCCCACACUGUUGUCCUCCUGUUGUUUCCCCAGCGUGUUCAUCGUGUGAGUGAAGGAGUUGUGGUGUUCAGGUCUGAGUAAUCUCCCUUCCGACUCCCCAGUUUGGUCUGCUCCUGAGCGAUGUGUCAUAUUCUCGGCCUGGUGACCAGCCCAGCCGACUAUCCCCCUCAUAAACGCCUCAAAGGUUUGUAUGCCUGCGUGAUGCUUGUUCCAAGCUCUCCUUAGAUCAGUGAAGCUCGCCGAAGAGGUUUUUCUAACUCAACCAUGGUGAUUUGUUCAGAACACGACCUCGACGUUGCGGAGCGCCGCCGUGAACCACCCAAUCGUCAACCGGUCACCUUGUGUUUUCUCUGAGCAAGAUUAGGUGAGCACGGUGUCCUUAUUGAGCUUGUGAUACUUCCCGUGCUCUUGAUUUGAACGCUACUGCGCGGCGGUUGGGGAAUCGUGCCCACCAGACCGAGGUUUCCGCCGCCAUUGUCGGUAGCACGGUUGUAGUAUCUUUGCAGGUUGAUCUAAUGCAUGCUCGAGUUCACUGUAAUCCAGGGACCCUGUUAGUGACCUCGCGGUUACCUGUGUCGCACCAUGGUGGUCGUUUAGUCGUCGGCUCGCCAGAGUGGACGGCGGAGUGUUGUGGCCGAGCGUUUGUAAAAGGAGAUAAACCGAAGAACUUAAGUGCUUCUGUCAGUGGAAUAGGGCAAUAGUGGCCUGGGUUCCGUUGGAUUAUUCCAGGCACGUGGGUCCUUUGCGCAAAAGAACAAACGCAAGCGUGGGCUCUCAGCCGCAUGCCAGCCCUGCUCGGUAAUGUGCUGCGUGGGCCGGAUUCAGCCCGCAAUUUAAUGCCUUCCCUUUAUUUAUUUAGCUGAGAGCUUGUUAAUUAGACCACAAAUUGUACAAAAAUAGUAUAAAAUCAUGUACUUUCUAGUAAAAAAAUAAAUUUAGGAUUUUUACGACAGAUGCCAAAUUUCAGGGAAUAAAUUUUAGAAAUAAGAAUUGAGCACCAAAAAUCAUGGAAUUUUUUUUGAGAAAUUUGUUAUCAGAAGCUGAUCACUUGGUAAAAGUUUGGUGCUGUUUGUAAGCCAUUUGUUCAGAAAUCCUUGUAGAGUCCCUAAUUGAAAUAAUAAGAAGAACAUAAUCACAUGUGGAUUAGAAAUUUGGAAAAAGGAACAAGUUUAACAAGUGAAACCUGAUCUUUGGAUAAAGAAGCAAGAGUGCCUAGUGGGAUCUGGAUUUUUGGUGUAGUUUGAAGAUUGUUCUAAUUCUCUAGAAGUUCAAGUUGUAGGAUUCAAGUCAGAAAAGUAAGUCCUUACUUAAGUCAAGCAUAGAGUUAUUGGUUAUGGAGACAGAGUUCCCUAGUGUGGCUUGAGAGCUUAGUGAUGAUAUUAGAAUGUUUAGCUCCCCUGUUGUUUGGUUAGUUUUGUGUGCACCUUUAGUAAGGUGUAGUUUGUACUGCUUUAGAGUAUCUUCUUUGUAGUUGCACAAGUAUAUGCAUUCAUGUUCAUAUCAUUUCAUGUAGAGCUCCGAGCAGAAGGAGUGUAAAUUCAAGACGAAGUGGUUGUGGAAGAGGAGUUUGCUCGAGUGCCUAUUCAGCAAGUGGAUAGAGCUAUCUAACUGGUUAUUGGGUAGAAAGGUCUUGAGCCUCUUCACUGCAACAAAGGCAAGCCCCGGUGCAUUUACCCUUCCUUGUAUUUUUAAAAAGACUUUUAUACACUUAAGUCUAGUGAAAUGUGCAUUAAGUUUAUAGGAAUUGCUUGGAAACUAUUUGAUGCAUUGCCUACCUUGAUAUCCAUACCUUUAUAGAUACUUCUGAUGAAGUAUCAAAAUAUGAUUUACAAAAAUGCUUAGCCCUGCUUAGAUCUUGUGGAUAGAGGCUGUCUUUUGCAAUAAUGCCUAGCUCAGGGGUUAUCCUGAGGAAGGAUGGCUUCUACCUGCAAGAAUAUUUUCAUUGGGAGCAUGGUGGGAUCUUACUGCAAAGUUCCCUAUAAUGCUCUUUUCAUCCUAAGGAACACAAACAAUCCUAAGGAUGGAAGUACUUAAAUCGGGACUUGGG